AGUAUAUUUAGAAUCCGUGAAACAAACACCCCGAUGCAUUGUCAUAUAUUUUCACCAAAAUAUUCUAGAAAUAUACAUCAAUCUCAACAAUAACAACAAACAUGACGAAAUUAAAAUAAAAUAAAACAAAAACAUCAUCCUUAAAGCAUAACUAGAGUGUUUAAGAACAAAAUCCAGAGUUGAAACAUCCAAAAAGAAGUUUAAGAACAAAAUCCAGAGUUCAAACUCCGGUUAUAGCAACAUAACAUAUACUAACUAACAACUAACAUGAUCACUUGCAGUGGAAG
Molecule: long non-coding RNA, 287 nt
Filed under: Trifolium pratense (red clover)
Lineage: Eukaryota; Viridiplantae; Streptophyta; Magnoliopsida; Fabales; Fabaceae
Description: long non-coding RNA (TPRA_LNC013836)
Source: RNAcentral